GACGAACGCUGGCGGCGUGCUUAACACAUGCAAGUCGAACGAUGAAGCUGGAGCUUGCUCCGGUGGAUUAGUGGCGAACGGGUGAGUAACACGUGAGCAAUCUGCCCUUGACUCUGGGAUAACUGCGGGAAACUGUAGCUAAUACCGGAUACGAGAUUUGGAGGCAUCUCCGGAUCUGGAAAGAAUUUCGGUCAAGGAUGAGCUCGUGGCCUAUCAGCUUGUUGGUGAGGUAAUGGCUCACCAAGGCGACGACGGGUAGCCGGCCUGAGAGGGUGACCGGCCACACUGGGACUGAGACACGGCCCAGACUCCUACGGGAGGCAGCAGUGGGGAAUAUUGCACAAUGGGCGAAAGCCUGAUGCAGCAACGCCGCGUGAGGGAUGAAGGCCUUCGGGUUGUAAACCUCUUUUAGUAGGGAAGAAGCGAAAGUGACGGUACCUACAGAAAAAGCACCGGCUAACUACGUGCCAGCAGCCGCGGUAA
Molecule: ribosomal RNA, 483 nt
Filed under: uncultured bacterium
Lineage: Bacteria
Description: partial 16S ribosomal RNA
Rfam family: Bacterial small subunit ribosomal RNA
Source: RNAcentral